RNAcentral lists this ribosomal RNA (321 nucleotides) under uncultured Lactobacillus sp. RNAcentral's name for it is "bacterial SSU rRNA". It matches the Rfam family "Bacterial small subunit ribosomal RNA", at positions 228 to 530 of the family's 1533-position model. Lineage: Bacteria; Bacillati; Bacillota; Bacilli; Lactobacillales; Lactobacillaceae. The record is from RNAcentral.
GAUGAGCCGCGCGNAUAGCAGUUGUGGGAAGCACAGGCAUGAUGCGUAGCCAGUUGAGAGACUGAUCCGGCCACAGUUGGGACUGAGACACGGCCCCAAAACUCCGUACGGGGAGCAGCAGUAGGGAACUCUUCACAAUGGACGCAAGUCUGAUGGAGCAACGCCGCGUGAGUAGAAGAACGGUCUUCGGAUCGUAAAGCUGUGUUGUUGGAGAAAGAGGAUAGAGCUAGUACUGGUUCUUUAGUUGACGUAAUACAACGAGAACGUCACGUCUAAACUACGUAGCCAGCACGGCCGUACGGUAAAGUACGGUAAGGGUGG